Molecule: non-coding RNA, 28 nt
Filed under: Homo sapiens (human)
Lineage: Eukaryota; Metazoa; Chordata; Mammalia; Primates; Hominidae
Source: RNAcentral
UAAUCUGCCUCAUGGCCAAAGCCAAUCC